Gossypium hirsutum (cotton) is the source of this 72-nucleotide non-coding RNA. The record is from Rfam. Lineage: Eukaryota; Viridiplantae; Streptophyta; Magnoliopsida; Malvales; Malvaceae.
GGUGACAUAGUCGAGUGGUAAGGCGGGGGGUUGCAAAUCCCUUAUUCCCCAGUUCAAAUCCGAGUGUCGCCU